Molecule: unclassified non-coding RNA, 1629 nt
Filed under: Hevea brasiliensis (rubber tree)
Lineage: Eukaryota; Viridiplantae; Streptophyta; Magnoliopsida; Malpighiales; Euphorbiaceae
Source: RNAcentral
UUUAUAGAUAUAUAUAUAUAUAUAGAGCAUUUGAAAUUACCUUUACUUAUAUAAACCUUAACUCCUGGGCUUGAUCUUAGCUCUAAGAGUAUUCUUCAUGACCACAGUGAACUCCAACUUCCCACUAAAAUCCACAUUCUUAUCUGAUGGGUAAGCACUCCAUUCAAAUUCUUGAACCAUUCUUGCAAUCAUUAGAUGCAAAUGCACAGUGGCUAACCCUAAACCAGGGCAAAUCCUCCUCCCUACACCAAACGGUGUCAUUUUUACUUCAGUCACUCCGGUUAUGUCGACUUCCUCCCUGCCGGAAACGAACCGGUUCGGAUCGAAUUUUUCUGGAUUGGACCAAAUUCUUGGAUCCUCCCCUAUUGCUGGGGAGAAGAUUUCAACAUUUGUAUCAGUUGGAAUAUCAUACCCUCCCAAAGUUGUUGCUUCGGUUACUGCAUGGGUUAGUAGAAAAAAUGUGGGUGGGUGUUUACGUAGCAAUUCUUUUACGAUUGCCUGUAAAUAGCCCAUCUUUUCUACGUCUUUUUCAUCAACUUUCCGAUCACCCACUGUUUGUUUUAUUUCAUUGUACAACUUAGCUUGAACAUUGGGAUUGUCGAUAAGCUGUGCGAUGCCCCACUCAACUGCCGUCGCCGUGGUAUCGGUUCCACCGUUGAGGAACUCUGAGCAAAGGGUGACCAGUUCUUGAUCGGUGGGAGAUGAUUUUCGCCCUUCGAUAUUUAGGUCAUAAAGGGUAUCUAAAUAUGAGAAUGAUAUUGCUGUUGAAUCUGAUCCUGGGUUUUGGAGAGCCUUUCGGCGCUUUUCGAUCAAGGGAACCAUGAAAUCAACUUGCUGUUUUCUAACUUGAGAUACCCUUUUCCUUUGCUUGGAGAAAAAUGGACUCAAAAUUGGAAGAAAAUCAUCGAUUCUUGGAUCAAGAACUAUCAAGACUGAUUUCAUUAUUUGAUCCAUCUUGAUGAUUGUUUCUUCAUCCAUUUCAAGCCCAAAACACAUAGUUAAAAGUAUACAGAACACUGCAUACCGAGCAUUUUUAAGCACCCAAACAACUCCAUCGUUAACCUCAGCCUCAGUUCUAAGCCGAUGGAUAAAUUUAUCCAUUGCACUUUCUCUUACGUUUCGAAACUCCUUAAUCCUGCUUGAACUAAGCAUAUUCUGCACCAUAUUCCGCCUCAGUGACCGCCACACAGGGCCAUAAACGGCGGCGUUGACAGUGAACUUGUUGCAGCUAAAGAUGGCUCUUGUAGGGUUUUCGCGAGGUCUGGUAGCAAAGAGAGGACCCCUUUCAAUGAGUGCUUCAUGGACUAACUUAGCAUCAGUAAGGAUUAUGAGUGUUCUUGUUCCCAUCUUGAGAGUAAAGAUUGGACCAUAUUUUGGACGUAAGUCUUCCACAUACUGAAAAAAUGGCUUUCCAGAGCAAGCGACCUGGAAAAGAUUGCCAACCACAGGCCAACCAGGCGGUCCUGGAGGAAGAUUUAAGCGUUUGGAUUUGGUUUUGCGAGAAAACAAGAAAAUAAGACCUGAAAUGAAGAAGGCAAGAAUGGAAAAGAAGAGAUGAUAGUGAGAGGCAAAAGAAGAAGCCAUUAAUUCUAUCUGUUUCUGUUUGUCGUCGAUGGAAAGAGGAGGUGA